Molecule: transfer RNA, 63 nt
Filed under: Pelagomacellicephala iliffei
Lineage: Eukaryota; Metazoa; Annelida; Polychaeta; Phyllodocida; Polynoidae
Description: tRNA-Ala
Source: RNAcentral
GUUAUGCUAGUUUAUAUUAGAACUGUUGUAUUGCAAACAACAAGAGGAAACAUCCGCAAAACU